This is a long non-coding RNA of Ictalurus punctatus (channel catfish), 9222 nucleotides long. The record is from Ensembl. NCBI's taxonomy places the organism in Eukaryota, Metazoa, Chordata, Actinopteri, Siluriformes, Ictaluridae.
UAUAGAAGAUCUAUGGAUGGAUAUGUAUAUAUAUUCAUAUGGAUAUGAACGGAUACGAAUAUAUAUAUAUAUAUAUAUAUAUAUAUGCCAUAUAGACUACAGGGAUGUACCCAGAAUUAGAAAUAUACCCAAAUGACCUGGAUUAAAAAAAUAUCUAUUCUACACACACUGCUUAUCGGACACUUUUUGCUUCUUAUAUUAAAGCGCACUUGUAAACAAACAGAGAACUGAAUUUCAGCAUCAAGGCACAAAGAAAUAUCAGUCAAGAGCGGAGGCGUCCAUGUGUGAGGUUUCAUUUGCGAGGGGGAGGAGGUGGCGGUCAGCGCCGGGCCCAUGGCUCCUCCGGCAUUUAAUUAAAAGCAAACAUGGAGGAAUGUGGACGUGAACAGUCCUCCCCCCCUUACACACACACACACACAUACAGAGCAAUCACCCAGGAAGGAAAAACAAAGGACCCUCGCUGGAAGUAGCACGCCACCCCCGGCCCGAAUGAAUGGAAGGCUGCUACAAUAACUCUUUUUUUGCACACUCAUCACUCCUCAAUCAGCCUCCCGGCAGAGGAGGAGGAGCUUACCGGUAAAUUGCAGGAGUUCUUCGUCCUCUGCCCGACAGCAGGGGUUUCCAAUCAAACCCGUCGCCUGCUUCAGGAAGGCAUCUGAUUGGAAGAGGCCUGACUCAGCAUUGUUAUCGCUGUCUGGGGUUUGUUUUGGGGGUUUUUUUUUCUUCCCCGUUUUAUACCAGGUUCCCAAACAAAAACUUUCUUCACACGACCUGAAAUGCAAAACGAACCUUAAGAGCUUCCCAAGCUUCCUUCAUGAGACAAAACCACAAAAACGCUGCGUAAUUCCGAAUGGCAGAAAUGAGAACAGCGUUCACUUCAGAAGCGUUUCAGAUUGCAUCCAAAGUUAAAGAUUUUCUUGAAGUUAGUACACCAGAUGUCUGCGUGUCCCAGACAUCUGUCUGUGAGCUCCCUGGUUGCCAAUUUAACGACCCUCAUUUGCCGCACCACCAGCAGAGACCAAUGAGGCGUACAGACACAAAAGAGUGCAACUCGCUGCCAGGCUCGCAGUCCUUCUCUUUGGGGCCUCUGUGCUUGAAUACAGGCCUCGUUUGCCAGCUCCCAUCAUGCAGCAGAGGGCAAAAUGUCCCCAGACAGACUCAAUGGGCAUACUGUGCUCUAGAUGAAACGGCCAUGAAGCCACGAUAAGGCCCCCGACUCCAAGUUUACUCCAUUUUCUCCCGCUGUUGCGAAAUCCAGUUUGAAAACAUUCGUUCAUCUUCAGGCUGGUUCUGGGAUCCGAAGACUAUCCCGGGAACGCUGCGCUCGAGGUAGCGAUACACUCCGUCCAGCAUGCACAGAAGCCUAGGAGCCAGCUGUCUUAGCCAAUCCAGGACAGAGGAAGCUGGAGAAAAGUUGCGCAGACUGACGUUAACCCGAGCUCGCUGUCGAACCACGGACCCUGGAGCUACAACUAGGAAACUGCUAACGCUAACCUAUAAUAAAAAUAAAUGGCUCCAUCCUGGACACAAUAGGUGUUAAAGCUGUCAAAUCCCCAUUAAGAAUACAGUGCGUGAGGCAGAGCUAUACGACGGAUCCGAAUCGACGAUAUCCCGUGCCCGGGAACGACAUUAAACAUCUUGCAGUGCCAGCUCGGAAUAGGAGCACCAUUUAUUAUAUAAGCUCAUUACAGAGAGGCCAUCAGAUGGAUAGGAAAAGGAGAUCAAAUGAGAUCUCGGCCGUCUGUACGAUCACAUGCAGAGCACGGAUGGUUCAGGCCUGCCGCUUUGCUCUCCCAAGAAUUAAUCAGCGAGACAGUCUGUGUUCCCAGCAGCGUAAUAUGUUAAGCUGUAUAAAAUCCGCUUCCUCUUCUUCCUCUCUUCAGACGAAAGUAGAAAGGGCUUUGACGCUGGAAAGAAACUCGGGAAACACAGGAGCUAGAGACCGACAGCUGAGAUUCGCGCUAUACACCUAGACCCUAAAAAGUGGUGAUUCAAUCGGACGCACAUAUGAUACGCGCAUAAUAUAAUAUACCCGGACUUCCUGUUCACGUCUAUCGCGCCACGAGGCACAGUUCCCUCCGAAACUACUGGAACGGCAGGGCCGGUUCAUUUAUUUAUUUCUGUAGACUGAAGACGUUGGGGUUUGAGAUCGUCACCCCGUCGUUUAUUUGCUGAUAUUUAUAUGCGGACGUGAGAAAAUGAGAAAAACGCGAGCCAUUUUGAAGCUGGGAAAAGAGGGGAAAUCUAAAAGAGGCAUUAAGCGUAGCCGAUACAACGAUUUGGGACGUCCUGAAAAAGAAAGAAACCACUGGUGUACUGAGCGACGGACACAAAAUGGGUCACAACAGAAACGUUGUGAGAAAACCCCCAAAAACAACAGUCAGUGACAUCACCAGCAACCUCCACAGGGCAGGGGUGAAGGUACAGGACCACAAUCCACUGUUUGAAGAAGACUUCGAGAGCAGAAUUAUAGAGGACGCACAAGAUGCAGUCCACUCAUCAGCAGGAAGAGUCAGAAAGCCAGAUUGGAAUUCCCAAAGAAAUACAGAGAGAAAGUUCUGGAACCGAGAUGAACCUCUAGCAAAGAGAUGGAAAGGACAAAGUGUGGAGAAAGAAAGGAUCUGCUCAUGAUCCGAAACGUACAAGCUCAUCUGUGAAACAUGGUGGAGGUAGCGUCAUGGCUUGGGAUCGCGCGUCUGCUUCUGGAACAUUCUCACUCAUCUUUAUUGACGAUGUAACUCAUGAGGGUAGCAGCAGAAUAAAUUCAGAAGUCCACAGAAACAAGCUGUCUUCCAAUUAUUCCAAGUAUUACUGCAUGAACUUCAUCAUGCAGCAAGACAAUGAUCUAAACCUCACUGACGACUCAACAAAGGACUUUAAAAAAGCCUGGAAAGGCAUAAUGAAAGAAAAACCCAACAGUUUGGUGAUGUCAAUGAGCCGCGCUUGAUGCAGUUAUUGCACGCGAGGGAAAUUCAACCAAAUAUUAAAUGUCAUUUACUUUAAUGUACUUCAAGACUGGUCUGUUCCUAUACUUUUGCACACCUACAAAUUGGAUGGACGGAUACGAACCGUUCUACGUUUUACGUUGUUUAACACGUCUAGAUGUAAACACCAGGAAAUAAAAGCUGGAAUCUCGUCUCGUGCCCAUCGUUUGAUCUCGAACCCGAACGUCUUUGGUAUGGAAGUAUUUUCUAAACUGAUUGCGAAUGGUAUUGUGUCGUACGCAGACCCGGCCAAAAUACAAACGGAGCUGCAACUCCCUUUGCAUUUGCAUUUGCGAUGCCUUGCACAGAAACCUGUCAGUGUUGAGGCUGGGGGUUUAGUAAUGGGGUGUGUUGGUAUUUGGAAGUGAUGCGAGUCACCGUCGACGCCCGAGAAGGAGAACGUGCUGAUUGAAGGCAGAGUGUAGAAUUUGUGAGGUAAAGAUGUCACAUCGAGCAGGGUCUGUUAACGACCUUCACAGGCAUACUGGAAUUAUCCAUCUAGAUUUGCACAUCGUAAUGUGUGUUGUUUUUUUUAUUUGUUAUAUGGCACGCCGUGGUCCGUUUCUGAAUGGAAUUUGUUUGGAAUGGUUUGUGUUUUGGACGGUUCGAUAUAAAUAAAGUGUUCAAUACACGUGUAAUAGUGUUUGACGUUUUUUUACGUUAUUUAAGGUUUUUAUACCAUCCAUAAUGUAAAACUGUGGUAUUUGAGAAACUGUAAGGCUCCGUAUAAUUACGCUCAGCAAUCCAAGUGAUAUACGUGCACACAUACCAAUCAUAGGUCGAAACAUUUGCUACGUUUGGCUGAAUUAUAAAAGCAAGAAGUGGUACUAAAUGAUGAGCUGUUUGGGAGCCGAAAGAGCUGGGCUGAGCUGGGCCAAAUGAUCUGGCUCAAUGAAAACUUCUUGGCCGUUGUCCGCAAGGCGCUCUGAAAUGCGGUCGACUGUGAGUUUGGACGUUACGUCGAAAUACAAACACGUCCUCCCACAUAUACUCCCACCGCCAACACUGAUUCGGUUUCUGUGCGAGGCAUUGGAAAUGCACAUGCGAAAGGGAGUUGCGAUUCCAUUAGAAUUUUGGCAGGCUGCAUACGUCACGCCGAGGACGUGAAAUCGCAAACGGGGUAAUUGCUAUUGCUAUUUCGAUAUGACAGGCUCAUAACUCGUAAGACAUGGGAAAAAUGGACUUUGCUUUUCCGUUUGAAACUUGGCAGACAUUGUACGUCCGUGUAAAUGAAAAUGCAACGGGUAAUGCGCGAUUUGAAUUUAGGAAACGCGACCGCAGGUACAAUUCGCAAUUAGUUUUGAAAAUAGUCCGUAAAACACUUCCAUACUUUGGGCUACAACACAAGCACAUGGAUUGGCCUUUCCAUUCCAAUAGUUUCGGAGGGGACUAUAUAAGAGUUCACAUUUGAAACAUUAAACAAUUCAUACUAGCAAGUACCGAAUUUACAGUAUGACAUAAUAAAGAAUUGACAUUACGAAGUAAUAAAGAAUUGACACUGAGUUAAUCAAGAAUUUACACUAUACGGUAAUACAAAUUAAUACUAUGAGAUAUUAAAGAAUUUAAACUAUGAGGUAAUAAAGAAUUGGCACUAUGAGAUAAUACACAGUUUACGGUAUGAGGUAAUAAGCAACCUACACUAUGAGAUAAAGAAUUUACUCUAUGAGAUAAUAAAGAAUUGGCACUGUGAGGUAAUAAACAAACUACACUAUGAGAUAUUAAACAAUUGACACUAUGAGUUAAUGAACAAUUGACACUAUGAGUUUAUUAAAAAGUUGCACUUAGAGGUAAUAAAGAGCUGACACUAUGAGAUAUUAAAUAAUUUAAACUAUGAGGUAAUAAAGAAUUUACACUAUAAGGUAUUGAAAAUGUACACUAUGAGGUAAUAGAACGCAUCUAUGAGGUAGUGAACACUAUGAGGUAAUAGAACGCAUCUAUGAGGUAGUGAACACUAUGAGGUAAUAGAACGCAUCUAUGAGGUAGUGAACACUAUGAGGUAAUAGAACGUAUCUAUGAGGUAGUGAACACUAUGAGGUAAUAGAACGCAUCUAUGAGGUAGUGAACACUAUGAGGUAAUAGAACGUAUCUAUGAGGUAGUGAACACUAUGAGGUAGUACAGAUCUAUAAUAGCUAUACUACAGAAGAUCUAUAACAGAUGAGCAUGAUGAUGUCAUAACUGUGUAAUUACACUGCUGUAGUCACUAGUGUCAAUGCUAAAAUAUCAAAUAAAUACCUGAACGUACCAUAUGGAGAAUUAAAAUGGACACUGAACAUCACAAAGGUUCAAUGUUAACUUCUUCUCCAACCUUUUCUCUUCAAAAAAAAAAAUCAACCUAAUUUCUUCUGUCCCCGACAUAGAUAUUUUUUGUAUUUUCACGACUAUUUUAGGCUAAACACAAGCUAGUGUCUGUAGUUAAGGUAACCCUUUAAACGAGCCCACAUUAUCGCGAUGUACUUUCGCCUCGCUGAAAGAGGUUUCAUAACAAAACACUGGCUUUCUGUUAGCGCCUUUUUUUCCUCUGCCGAGACAUCUGAGAUGACACUUGAGCGCCAGUUUUCUAACAGAAUAUAAAUCAACCUACAGAAACGUUCCCGAUCGGGCAUGAGGUCUGCGGCUCGCCUCGCCGUAUCCUCCCGUUCCUCUGUCAUUUCGCUUCAUGUCUCGCUCUGCAGCUGACUGACGACAAAUAACACCAUUUGUUUAUUUUUACUGCAUGCGCAACUGGAUUGGACCCUUUUUUUUUUGUUGUUGCAUUGCCAGAGGUUAAACAUUCAAGUGGAGUGAAUAGGCAUUAAUGACACUGUUCAGUUCAACAGAUCGGACCACCUGAAAAAAACUGAUCACCAACUUGUCCCUAUGUGGUGUGUUACCUGCCCUGGGCAUUCAGCCGAUCGUUACUCUCGAACCCUGACCAUUCCCAUUAUUAUCGAGAUGAUAUUCAGGAUCAUACAAUAAACCCAUCACUGCAAUACUGUUCUGUGACAUCCAUACCAGGUUUAAAAUAUAAUCGAAAAAUCUCUGAAACACCCCUGCCCUACUUCCAGGGUGAAAUAAACCCAGUGACAUGGCGACCGUAAAAAAGCACCAUUUUGGCUGUCAGACCGUUCCCGAAUAAUUUAACCACCAUCACUUUAUUUCCAGUCCAAUUAGGCUCACCGAUGGCGUAUGCGAUGCGAUAUAAACGCACGGUCUCGACAUACAGAUGGCCUGAAUACAGAGUUCAUACUGCAGAGCACAACCGGGUUAAAUACGCCUGCGCGUCAACAACGACCGAUCGAUUUCUUUUAUUAUGCAGCACGGAUCAAUCAACCCACAAGCAGCCUCGGUAUAAAAGAGACGUCCGGUGUGCGAAUCGAGUGUCCGCGGCGUAUCGGAACAAGCCAAGGAUCUACGUGAUAGAUUACUAGUAAGAUAGCUGAUUGUUAUCAAAACUGUUAAUGAGUUAUAGCGGUGCGUUGAGUUGAAGUUCUGCUAACAGCAGUGGUGCUGUUGUGGUCUGUGGGGUUGAGGAAUUGAUCGAUCGGCCCUGAAUCAGCCCGAGGUGGUCCGAAUAAGACAAAAUGACCGGCGUGUAGGUGAACAUCUGUGAACGGUGGAGCGACGCGCCAGUUAAACGUGUUCGUUUAUUACCACUCAGUUGCUGCAUGAGGAAAAACAUUAAGUACGAAAAAAAGAUUCUUCCCUAUUCUGUGACGACGGAGACUCGCACACGUACGUACACCGGCCGACCGACGGAUCGAUCCGAAGCCCCGAGGAAACAUGUUAGCGUUACUGAUGCUGAUGUAUCACAAAAUGGACAACUUUUUUUUUUUCCCUUCUUUCAGCUGGCUCGCGAAAGGGAAGGUCUAGUGUUUUAUCUGGGAGCACGCUAAUUAGAUAAGUGAAAGUGCAGCAUCAAUAAAGCUAAAAUACAGAAUGAGAUUACCAUAACCCACAUCUGUCCACUGCUCUACACGCUCUACGCGUUAUCGGACACGGGAUCUAGAGGUCCCGAUUGAAGGUUUCUACCGAUCGCAGACACGGUUACUGCUGCAAAAGAAUCACGUACUGUAUAUGAAAAUUUACUACCACAUAACAACAGUAAAAUCCAGAUCGCUCCUGCGCUCGGGUGCGCGCUGGAUUAUUAAUGCCUGACUCGUUCGCAGGACCGCGGAUGUCACCAUGGUAACCAAGCUCAGGUGCGAUUGUGAACUAUGACGUCACCUUAACUGAGGGUUUCAGACCAAAACACAAAGACCGAGCAGUGAUACAAAUUCUGAUCUUCUCUUUUUAGAAAUAUCUAGAAGGAAUAUUAUUUGCUUUGAAGUGGGGGGGGGGUAAUUCUAUUCAGUGUAAUAAUGAUGGAGAUGGAGAAAAAUUCUGCUCUGUGAAUUAUUUAGUAAUUACAGUGGAACUAACAGGAAGUAUAGUCGUAAGAUGCGUUCACAUCUGGAGUCCUGGGAUCAACUGAAGGGGAGUAACAUCCUGAAAUCCCCAAAUCAAGGCUUCGUUCUUGUGUUUGCUAGCCGUAUUAUUGAACGAUGCCGCAUUUCCGACAUGCUUAAGCACUUACUGGGGUCUACGGCUACGCCAGGCAUCGCUACGAUGUAAUCAGAGGCCUUCGUUUACAGCGACGAUAUUUAUACGUUCAUUUCCAGUGCCUGCUCGGUCCUGGUCGGGUGUGAGGACGUCCCGGCACGCACGCGAGUCCGGCGCACAGCAUCGUGGACACACGCUUUCGCAUACAGGGGUUCUUUCGAGUCACCAGUCUGCCUACUGCUACGUUUCGGGAAGCUGGAAGGAAAGCAGAGAACCCUGAGGAAACAGACGCUGACCUGAGACCGGGAUCGAAGCUGCCGUGCCGCCCGCAAACUUUUCACCCUUCGUGGCAAAGGUGUGAUACUUGAAUUUUUAUUCCUUAUUUGUAGAAAUAACCGGGAGGGUACAUCGAACGUGAUGAAACACAAUGGAUUACGCUGAGGCCUUAGCAAAGGUGUAUUGAGUCGCUGAGGAAAAGCGUUCGGAAAUCUGACGUCUGGCUUGGACUGCUUGUUUGUGUUUGUAUACGCCUCCUGUCAGUCAUUUUACAGACGCUCAACUCCGUCUUACUUAAUGCACAUUAAAAUCCCCGUGAAGAGUCUUGAAACGCACAGCCUUAUUCGACGUGCUGAUGUAAUUUCCACCGAAAUGACUGAAUCUCGAGCGGCUCCUCCCCCCUUUCUAAACAGCCAAUAGCGUUUUGCUUACCUCACAGCCCGGGCUAAAUCUGAAUAGAAAACAGACACGUGCUCGCCGAUAUGAUUCCUCUCGCUCAACGACGGCAACUUCGGCAAUUAUUUAUAAGGUUGUGGGCGGGACAAGCUGAAGUGCAGAACGACGUCAUGGAAACCGUUGAUGCGUAUUGAUGUUAGAGUGAAACUGUACGUUCUGAGUGCGUAUAUCUUCUAAAUACGGGUUUAGUCGUCGUUCUGGAGCGCACUAGCUCAUAGAUAACCGUAGCGCUGACUCAUAUCCGUACUAAAAGCCGCAAAAUUCCCUAUUUCAAGAGGAUUUUUAACAAAGUAAGGUACGGUAUUUCAUCCUCGACGCAAGCCAAGAAUCGACGCGUGCACCGGCGCCAAACUGAUCCGAUCUGAUUUAAGUCUCUUACGGUCUCCUGUUCCUUGCAUUCAUAACGAUUUCGUUGCAUUUGAUCACGACAGCACCACGACGUUGUACCGCCUGUACCGCGGAAAUAUAUCAAGAAGUGUCGCCCAGAACAGGACGGUGAGUCAGGGCGCUCUCGCGGCUUCGUCCUCAUGAUGUCUCAGGGAGUUUUUCCCUCGCCGCCGUCGCUCGUUAAGUUUCCAGAUCUACUUCCUGCGCUGUGAGCAUGUCCGGUGCUAAAAGCACUAUCUAAAAAAAAAAUGAACCGGACUGGAAGUGCGAGUGAUUUCCGGCGGUUGAGAAGAUUCGAGGGAGGUUAUCAGGUUACCCAGAGUGCAUCCUUUUCUCUGUGAAACGCUGAAGGUGUGCAUGGUGCUAGACUUUCAUUUAAAAUAGGUAAAUAUUCACCAUUCGGUCUUCUUAUCCGGCCGAACCAGGUUCGGCGGGCUGUGAAACCAGCUCUGGGCCUGUUUCCGUGAGUGCACAUGGUCAAGUAGACAUGAUGAUGGUGAUGAUGGUGAUGGUGAUGAUGGUGCUUUAAGGCUAAGCUUGGAGAGAACAUAUAUAUACACACAUAUAUAUAUAUAUAUAUAUGUUCUCUCCAAGAACAUC